Molecule: ribosomal RNA, 465 nt
Filed under: uncultured bacterium
Lineage: Bacteria
Description: partial 16S ribosomal RNA
Rfam family: Bacterial small subunit ribosomal RNA
Source: RNAcentral
CCUACGGGUGGCAGCAGUGGGGAAUAUUGCGCAAUGGGCGAAAGCCUGACGCAGCGACGCCGCGUGAGGGAUGAAGGUCUUCGGAUCGUAAACCUCUGUCAGCAGGGAAGAACGGUCACUGUGCUAAUCAGCAGUGAAUUGACGGUACCUGCAAAGGAAGCACCGGCUAACUCCGUGCCAGCAGCCGCGGUAAUACGGAGGGUGCGAGCGUUAAUCGGAAUUACUGGGCGUAAAGCGCUCGUAGGCGGUAUGUCAAGUCAAGGGUGAAAUCCCCGGGCUCAACGUGGGAACUGCCUUUGAACAUGGGAAAGGGGAGUGUGUGAGAGGAUAGUGGAAUGCCAGGUGUAGGGGUGAAAUCAGUAGAUAUCGGGAGGAACAACAGGGGCGAAGGCGACUAUCUGGCACAUAACUGACGCUGAGGAGCGAAAGCGUGGGUAGCAAACAGGAUUAGAUACCCUAGUAGUC